Molecule: small nuclear RNA, 95 nt
Filed under: Microtus ochrogaster (prairie vole)
Lineage: Eukaryota; Metazoa; Chordata; Mammalia; Rodentia; Cricetidae
Source: RNAcentral
UUGCUUGGGCAGCACAUACACUAAAUGGAACAAUAGGAUUAGCAUGGCCCUGCUCAAGGAUGGUUCCAUAUUUUAGACAUGUGUUCUCUAUUUUG